RNAcentral lists this ribosomal RNA (479 nucleotides) under uncultured bacterium. RNAcentral describes it as "partial 16S ribosomal RNA". It matches the Rfam family "Bacterial small subunit ribosomal RNA", at positions 28 to 507 of the family's 1533-position model. The record is from RNAcentral.
GAUGAACGCUAGCGGGAGGCCUAACACAUGCCAGCCGAGCGGUAGAGUCUCUUCGGAGACUUGAGAGCGGCGCACGGGUGCGGAACACGUGUGCAACCUGCCUUUAUCUGGGGGAUAGCCUUUCGAAAGGAAGAUUAAUACCCCAUAAUAUACUGGAUGGCAUCAUCUGGUAUUGAAAACUCCGGUGGAUAGAGAUGGGCACGCGCAAGAUUAGAUAGUUGGUGAGGUAACGGCUCACCAAGUCAGCGAUCUUUAGGGGGCCUGAGAGGGUGAUCCCCCACACGGGUACUGAGACACGGACCAGACUCCGACGGGAGGCAGCAGUGAGGAAGAUUGGACACGGGGUGAGAGCCUGAUCCAGCCAUCCCGCGUGAAGGACGACGGCCCUAUGGGUUGUAAACUUCUUUUGGAUAGGGAUAAACCUAGAUACGUGUAUCUAGCUGAAGGUACUAUACGAAUAAGCACCGGCUAACUCCGUG